CAGUCGAGCGAGAACCGUAGCAAUACGGGGACAGCGGCGAAAGGGACAGUAAUGUGUAGGUACCUACCCCUGGGUUCGGGAUAGCUGCGGGAAACUGCAGGUAAUACCGAAUAACGUCCAAGGACCAAAGGUGUGAUUCCACCUGGGGAGGGGCCUGCAUCCUAUUAGCUUGUUGGCGGGGUAACGGCCCACCAAGGCAACGAUGGGUAGCGGGUGUGAGAGCACGACCCGCGUCAUUGGGACUGAGAUACUGCCCAGACACCUACGGGUGGCUGCAGUCGAGGAUCUUCGGCAAUGGGCGAAAGCCUGACCGAGCGACGCCGCGUGCGGGAUGAAGGCCUUCGGGUUGUAAACCGCUGUCGUUGGGGAGGAAAUGCAGGGGGGUUCUCCCCUCUGUUUGACCUAUCCAAGGAGGAAGUACGGGCUAAGUUCGUGCCAGCAGCCGCGGUAAGACGAACCGUACGAACGUUAUUCGGAAUUACUGGGCUUAAAGGGUGCGUAGGCUGCGCGGUAAGUUGGGUGUGAAAGCCCUCAGCUCAACUGAGGAACUGCACUCAAAACUACCGUGCUCGAGGGAGACAGAGGUGAGCGGAACUCAAGGUGGAGCGGUGAAAUGCGUUGAUAUCUUGAGGAACACCGGUGGCGAAGGCGGCUCACUGGGUCUUUUCUGACGCUGAGGCACGAAAGCCAAGGUAGCAAACGGGAUUAGAUACCCCGGUAGUCUUGGCUGUAAACGAUGAGCACUUGUUUGAAGGGUCCUCCAUAGCCUUUCAGACGUAGCGAAAGUGUUAAGUGCUCCGCCUGGGGGAGUAUGGUCGCAAGGCUGAAACUCAAAGAAAUUGACGG
Molecule: ribosomal RNA, 846 nt
Filed under: uncultured bacterium
Lineage: Bacteria
Description: bacterial SSU rRNA
Rfam family: Bacterial small subunit ribosomal RNA
Source: RNAcentral